This 468-nucleotide ribosomal RNA is filed under the name uncultured bacterium. RNAcentral describes it as "partial 16S ribosomal RNA". It matches the Rfam family "Bacterial small subunit ribosomal RNA", at positions 28 to 507 of the family's 1533-position model. The record is from RNAcentral.
GACGAACGCUGGCGGCGUGCUUAACACAUGCAAGUCGAACGGAAAGGCCCUGCUUUUGUGGGGUGCUCGAGUGGCGAACGGGUGAGUAACACGUGAGUAACCUGCCCUUGACUUUGGGAUAACUUCAGGAAACUGGGGCUAAUACCGGAUAGGAGCUCCUGCUGCAUGGUGGGGGUUGGAAAGUUUCGGCGGUUGGGGAUGGACUCGCGGCUUAACCGCUUGUUUGUUGGGUAGUGGCUUACCAAGGCUUUGACGGGUAGGCGGCCUGAGAGGGUGACCGGGCACAAUGGGACUGCGGGACGGCCCAGACUCCUACGGGAGGCAACGGUGGGGAAUAUUGCACAAUGGGCGGAAGCCUGAUGCAGCGACGCCGCGUGCGGAAUGACGGCCUUCGGGUUGUAAACCGCUGUCGCCUGUGACGAAGCGUGAGUGACGGUAAUGGGUAAAGAAGCACCGGCUAACUACGUG